GGUGAGGUUCCCGAGCGGCCAAAGGGAGCAGACUGUAAAUCUGCCGGCGAUGCCUUCGGAGGUUCGAAUCCUCCCCUCACCACCA
RNAcentral lists this transfer RNA (85 nucleotides) under Desulfarculus baarsii DSM 2075. RNAcentral describes it as "tRNA-Tyr (GTA) (tRNA-Tyr-GTA-1-1)". It matches the Rfam family "tRNA". From Rfam's summary of the family: Transfer RNA (tRNA) molecules are approximately 80 nucleotides in length. Their secondary structure includes four short double-helical elements and three loops (D, anti-codon, and T loops). Lineage: Bacteria; Pseudomonadati; Thermodesulfobacteriota; Desulfarculia; Desulfarculales; Desulfarculaceae. The record is from RNAcentral.